ACCCAAUGUAUUUUCUCAGUUUUAAGUACAAAUAAUCCACCAAAGAACCAAACUCGGCUCCUCCCCAAACCACCGAAUAAAAAAAAUGUCAGACUUUUGAAGUCCAAACGGAAAUCAUACGAAGAGUCCCAGAUACAAAAUCGUUAAUUCGGUGCAGAUCGGUCUCAAAGGCAUGGAAGUCUGUAAUCGACAGCAAGGAGUUUGUUAAGGCUCAUAUUCUCCGACAUCAGGGGCAUAAUCGUCAUCUACUUAUAAAGACACUCGAUUGCACAGGCGAUAUUAUUCCAUUGUCGAUGAUGAUGACGUCACUUUCCCUCAUCAUCAAAAGAUGUGGAAUGUGAACAGAGAGCGUCUUAUAAACUCUUUUGAGGAGGAAUUAAAUCUCCAGCAGAAAUCUAGAGCUAGAUGGGCCCAAUUUUAAUGAUGAAAACUCAUCUUUUUUCCACGGGAUUAUUUACAGAUCCUCCCCUCAUUAAGCAGAAGGUCCUCUCUUUUUUUUUUCUACAAUAUUUAUUGAAUCUCAUUUGUCCUAACCUUUCCAAACUAUAUGAGUCUGAUGCUGCAUUUUUUAUUCGACCAUUCUCUACGGAUGAAAUACGAGGGGCGGUAUGGGCCUGUGCUGGGGAUAAGACCCCGGGCCCGGACGGGAUGAAUUUCUUUUUCUUAAGGCGCUGCUGGGACUGGGAGUUUCUAAAAGAUGACUUUUACAACUUGUUUAACGAAUUCUAAGAUGUUGCACUUAUCCCUAAGGUCAAAGACCCGCAACUCUUGUCUGAAUUUAGACCUAUCAGGUUAAUUGCAUGCAUCAACAAAAUCAUUUCAAAGGUGUUAGUAACGGAGCAUUCUAGACGGACCAUUAAUUAUCAAUGAGGUAGUGACUUGGCUUAAAAAAUCUAAAAAAAAACAAGCGUUGAUUUUUAAAGUGGACCUAGAAAAAGCCUUCGACUCUCUGAGCUGGACCUUCCUGAUUUCAAUUAUGGAGCUGAUGAAUUUCCCGCAAGUUUAGUGCACAUGGAUCAUGGCUUCAUUAUCUUCUGCACGGGCAUCAGUCCUAGUAAACGGGUCACCGACACAUGAGUUUCAGUGCUCUCAGGGACUUAGGCAGGGGGAUCUAUUGUCCCCAUUUCUUUUUAUUAUCGCCAUUGAAGCACUUACUAGAGUCAUGAAAAAGGCUUGUUCCAUAACGGGCUAAAAUGCAGAUGACUUGGUGUUCUUUGGAGAAUGGUCAAAUGCUAAUGCCCUUAACCUAUGCAGAACUCUUAGAUGUUUUUACCUUGCUUCGGGCCUUAGGGUUAAUGGCAGGGUUACUUUACUGCAGGGUCGGUGUUAUGCCAUUUUAAGUACCUUAGGUUAACGGUGGGUGGGAAUAUGAACUUGGUAAAAAACUGGCAGCCUAUUAUUGAUGUUUGUAGAAGCAGGUUAUCCAUUUGAAAAGCUAAUAACCUGUCGUCAGGUGGAAGAGUGACUAUGAUCAAAUCAGUCCUUAAUUCUUCACCAACUUAUUACUUUUCUAUCUAUAAGGUACCUUUACAGGUAUUGGAGAAGCUAGAUCAGCUACGAAGAGAUUUUUUUUUGAGGUGGCAAAGGGGAUUCUAAAAAAAACUUGUUGGGUAUCGUGGAACAAAGUUGUCCAACCUGAAGAACUCGGAGGCCUUGGCUUAGGUUCACUACGUGAAAUUCAUAAAGCUUCCUUGGAUUUGCAGCAACAAAUGAGGGCUUUUAUUGACAUCGAACCAAGUGACCUGUUUCUCUUUACCUUUUUUUUUGUAUAUGGCCUGUUUCAGAUAAACUACAACCUAACUUGAUCCGUUCAUAGGUAAUUGGGUAAAUUUACUAACAUAUGUAUGCAUGGGUUGUUCUUGGUGUAUAUAGUUAUAUAAGUUUCAUGUGAACUCUUACGACA
Long non-coding RNA from Erigeron canadensis, 1903 nucleotides. RefSeq lists it as uncharacterized. Lineage: Eukaryota; Viridiplantae; Streptophyta; Magnoliopsida; Asterales; Asteraceae. The transcript has 2 exons. The record is from RefSeq and is a predicted model, not a curated record.